GAUGAACGCUGGCGGCGUGCCUAAUACAUGCCAGUCGAGCGAACGGACGAGAAGCUUGCUUCUCUGAUGUUAGCGGCGGACGGGUGAGUAACACGUGGAUAACCUACCUAUAAGACUGGGAUAACUUCGGGAAACCGGAGCUAAUACCGGAUAAUAUUUUGAACCGCAUGGUUCAAAAGUAAAAGACGGUCUUGCUGUCACUUAUAGAUGGAUCCGCGCUGCAUUAGCUAGUUGGUAAGGUAACGGCUUACCAAGGCAACGAUGCAUAGCCGACCUGAGAGGGUGAUCGGCCACACUGGAACUGAGACACGGUCCAGACUCCUACGGGAGGCAGCAGUAGGGAAUCUUCCGCAAUGGGCGAAAGCCUGACGGAGCAACGCCGCGUGAGUGAUGAAGAUCUUCGGAUCGUAAAACUCUGUUAUUAGGGAAGAACAUAUGUGUAAGUAACUGUGCACAUCUUGACGGUACCUAAUCAGAAAGCCACGGCUAACUACGUG
RNAcentral lists this ribosomal RNA (497 nucleotides) under uncultured bacterium. RNAcentral describes it as "partial 16S ribosomal RNA". It matches the Rfam family "Bacterial small subunit ribosomal RNA", at positions 28 to 507 of the family's 1533-position model. The record is from RNAcentral.